This 1541-nucleotide long non-coding RNA is filed under the name Nicotiana tabacum (common tobacco). RNAcentral describes it as "long non-coding RNA (NTAB_LNC010512)". The record is from RNAcentral. Lineage: Eukaryota; Viridiplantae; Streptophyta; Magnoliopsida; Solanales; Solanaceae.
GCAUGCUCCGCCUCCUUAUAAAGAAAAGAAAGGAAAGGGAUAAGGAGAACAUAAAGCAAGACAUAUCGAAAAACAAAGUAAAGCUUGAAGAAAUUAAAGUGUCUUUUUAAGUGUGUGAAUCUCUCCUAAUAAUAGGCUUAGAAACUUUAAGACUGGAAAGUUGUAUCAAAAUGGCCAACUCAAGUAUACUCUGAAAAGGAACAAUGACCCAUUUCCGAGCUCAUCCUCUCCCUACCUCAUAAUAGUGUCCCCCGCCCCUUCUCUAAUCAAAAGAAGAAACAGAAAAAAUAAUGAAGGGAAAAUGACAUUGUAUAGCUUUUCUCAAAAUAAUAGCCGAAAAAAUGUAUAGUGUUUGUAUAUAUGUACAUUUCUGUAUUUUAUAUACAAAAAAUAUAUAAAUUUUAUAUACCUUUGUUGCUACCGGAUGUAAAUAGUUUCCUUUGCGGACUAAAAGUAUCUUUGCCCAAAAAUGAAAUCUGCACUUCUUUUGGUUGAACAGUGCAAAUCCAUUUGCACGACUUCUUUUGCAUAUUGUUGAAUUGUAAAGGAUACAAAAAGUGGGAUUUCAAGGUCAAGGCCUUGGAUGUUAGUGAGACAAUUUCAAUUGAAAUAAACAUGAUAAAGUAAGUCAUAGACCUAAUGAUUUAGAAUGGAAAAUUCAAUCAAGUUUAUGUCUUUAAGCACUCUUUUCUCAUAUUGCAAAUUUACUAAAGCUUUUAUUUUCUCUUCUUUAAAAUGACAGGGCGAAGAACUGAAAAAGCAAAUAGGUGCAGUGGCAUAUGUUGAGUGCAGCGCCAAGACACAGCAGGUAAUCUUGAACCUUUCAAGUAUGUCGGAACUUUAAAAGAUUAGUACAUGAAACAUGAUUAACAAGUCUAGAUGCACUUCAAAACAAGCAAACAUUCUUCGGAACAAAAUGCUCAAAGUUCACCUAGCUUCCUUUAGGACAUUCUGAAACCAGAAGAGUGUUAUAUACCAGACUUGGAAAACAUUUUGUGUAAGCUAAUAAUUCAGGGCAAAACCUACAAUGCAUGCAGCUUAUAAGUUGUCAGGAUUAUGAGCCAAAACCAAUUGAGAAAAAAAUGUUCUUUGUAAUGUAGAAUGUGAAGGCUGUUUUCGAUACUGCAAUCAAGGUGGUUCUUCAGCCUCCAAAGAGCAAAAAACAGAAAGGAAAACACAAAACCUGCUGGAUACUUUGAUCGAACUCGUUGGAAGAGAGACGUUUGUACAAUAACAUUUUCCAUUUCUUUGAGAUGUUUAGCUGUGAUAUGAUAUCCGUAGAUUUAUUUCUUUUUUUCCUGUUUGCUUUAGUAAGAAGUGCCAGUUUUCUCAUUUCAAAGUAUGUGUGAGUGAUGUGCUUGUUGUGUUUGUGACUGGCUUGUACAUGGUUUUAUAUGAUGGAAAGUGAUGUGGAAUUCGUUAGUGUAGACGGAAUAUGCUGUAUUUUAUGCAAUGAUCUUUCUUGGCAUGGCUAUGUAAUAUGAAAAUGUUUGUGACAUUUCUAACAGUGACAUCUAACAACUCAAAUCAGAUUUGAUCAA